Molecule: ribosomal RNA, 468 nt
Filed under: uncultured bacterium
Lineage: Bacteria
Description: partial 16S ribosomal RNA
Rfam family: Bacterial small subunit ribosomal RNA
Source: RNAcentral
GACGAACGCUGGCGGCGUGCUUAACACAUGCAAGUCGAACGAAAAGGCCCUGCUUUUGUGGGGUGCUCGUGUGGCGAGCGGGUGGGUAACACGGGAGUAACCUGCCCUUGACUUUUGGAUAACUUCAGGGAACUGGGGCUAAUAACGGAUAGACGCUCCUGAUCCAUAGUGUGGGUUGUAAAGUUUGGGCGGUUGGGGAUGGACUCGCGGCUUAUCAGCUUGUUGGUGGGGUAGUGGCUUACCAGGGCUUUGACGGGUAGCCGGCCUGAGAGGGUGACCGGCCACAUUGGGACUGAGAGACGGACCAGACUCCUACGGGAGGCAGCAGUGGGGAAUAUUGCACAAUGGGCGGACGCCUGAGGCAGCAACGCCGCGUGCGGGAUGACGGCUUUCGGGUUGUAAACCGCUUUCGCCUGUGACGAAGCGUGAGUGACGGUAACGGGUAAAGAAGCACCGGCUAACUACGUG